AGCGAACGCUGGCGGCAGGCCUAACACAUGCAAGUCGAACGAGCUCUUCGGAGCUAGUGGCAGACGGGUGAGUAACGCGUGGGAACGUGCCCUUUGGUUCGGAACAACUCAGGGAAACUUGAGCUAAUACCGGAUGUGCCCCUUCGGGGGAAAGAUUUAUCGCCAUUGGAGCGGCCCGCGUUGGAUUAGGUAGUUGGUGAGGUAAAGGCUCACCAAGCCUACGAUCCAUAGCUGGCUGAGAGGAUGAUCAGCCACACUGGGACUGAGACACGGCCCAGACUCCUACGGGAGGCAGCAGUGGGGAAUCUUGCGCAAUGGGCGAAAGCCUGACGCAGCCAUGCCGCGUGAAUGAUGAAGGUCUUAGGAUUGUAAAAUUCUUUCAGCAGGGACGAUAAUGACGGUACCUGCAGAAGAAG
This 416-nucleotide ribosomal RNA is filed under the name uncultured bacterium. RNAcentral describes it as "bacterial SSU rRNA". It matches the Rfam family "Bacterial small subunit ribosomal RNA", at positions 29 to 490 of the family's 1533-position model. The record is from RNAcentral.